Molecule: ribosomal RNA, 1333 nt
Filed under: human gut metagenome
Description: bacterial LSU rRNA
Rfam family: Bacterial large subunit ribosomal RNA
Source: RNAcentral
AGUCGUAGCGAAAGCGAGUCUGAUAAGGGCGUGAGUCGCGUGUUCUAGACCCGAAGCGGUGUGAUCUAUCCAUGGCCAGGAUGAAGCGUCGGUAAGACGUCGUGGAGGUCCGAACCCACUUCAGUUGAAAAUGGAGGGGAUGAGCUGUGGAUAGGGGUGAAAGGCCAAUCAAACACCGUGAUAGCUGGUUCUCCCCGAAAGCUAUUUAGGUAGCGCCUCGUGAACUCAUCUUCGGGGGUAGAGCACUGUUUCGGCUAGGGGGCCAUCCCGGCUUACCAACCCGAUGCAAACUACGAAUACCGAAGAAUGUUAUCACGGGAGACACACGGCGGGGGCUAACGUCCGUCGUGAAGAGGGAAACAACCCAGACCGCCAGCUAAGGUCCCAAAGUCAUGGUUAAGUGGGAAACGAUGUGGGAAGGCCCAGACAGCCAGGAUGUUGGCUUAGAAGCAGCCAUCAUUUAAAGAAAGCGUAAUAGCUCACUGGUCGAGUCGGCCUGCGCGGAAGAUGUAACGGGGCUAAACCAUGCACCGAAGCUGCGGCAGCGACACUAUGUGUUGUUGGGUAGGGGAGCGUUCUGUAAGCCGUUGAAGGUGUGCUGUGAGGCAUGCUGGAGGUAUCAGAAGUGCGAAUGCUGACAUAAGUAACGAUAAAGCGGGUGAAAAGCCCGCUCGCCGGAAGACCAAGGGUUCCUGUCCAACGUUAAUCGGGGCAGGGUGAGUCGACCCCUAAGGCGAGGCCGAAAGGCGUAGUCGAUGGGAAACAGGUUAAUAUUCCUGUACUUGGUGUUACUGCGAAGGGGGGACGGAGAAGGCUAUGUCAGCCGGGCGACGGUUGUCCCGGUUUAAGCAUGUAGGCGGAGGUUCCAGGUAAAUCCGGUACCUUGUUAACGCUGAGGUGUGAUGACGAGGCACUACGGUGCUGAAGUGAUAAAUGCCCUGCUUCCAGGAAAAGCCUCUAAGCAUCAGGUAACAUCAAAUCGUACCCCAAACCGACACAGGUGGUCAGGUAGAGAAUACCAAGGCGCUUGAGAGAACUCGGGUGAAGGAACUAGGCAAAAUGGUGCCGUAACUUCGGGAGAAGGCACGCUGAUGUGUAGGUGAAGCCCCUGCGGGUGGAGCUGAAAUCAGUCGAAGAUACCAGCUGGCUGCAACUGUUUAUUAAAAACACAGCACUGUGCAAACACGAAAGUGGACGUAUACGGUGUGACGCCUGCCCGGUGCCGGAAGGUUAAUUGAUGGGGUUAGCGGCAACGCGAAGCUCUUGAUCGAAGCCCCGGUAAACGGCGGCCGUAACUAUAACGGUCCUAAGGUAGCGAAAUUCCUUGUCGGGU